RNAcentral lists this ribosomal RNA (77 nucleotides) under Escherichia coli. Its description in RNAcentral is "partial 16S ribosomal RNA". The stretch from base 1 to 67 matches the Rfam family "Bacterial small subunit ribosomal RNA", at positions 1467 to 1533 of the family's 1533-position model. The record is from RNAcentral. Lineage: Bacteria; Pseudomonadati; Pseudomonadota; Gammaproteobacteria; Enterobacterales; Enterobacteriaceae.
AUUCAUGACUGGGAUGAAGUCGUAACAAGGUAACCGUAGGGGAACCUGCGGUUGGAUCACCUCCUUACCUUAAAGAA